Molecule: long non-coding RNA, 320 nt
Organism: Frankliniella occidentalis (western flower thrips)
Lineage: Eukaryota; Metazoa; Arthropoda; Insecta; Thysanoptera; Thripidae
Exons: 3
Source: RefSeq, a predicted model, not a curated record
UCGGCGCUGAUUGAGGGCGCUGAUCGACGGCGCUGUCUCGUCGGCCCUCUUUGGCGUCGCUCUUUACCAGCGCCGAUGGAUUGUUUCAUAAGUGCCCCCGUCGGAGCUAUCAGUGGUUUUUUAUUCUUUAUUUACUUCAUGUUUUGAGAUCAUGCAAAAACAACGGAAACACAAUUGCAAGAUUAAAGUCUUGAGUAAUUCCAUGUCCGCAUACCAUUUACGAUAAGUGCUCUCUGGAGGCGUCUAUGGAAUCAUGGAGGAACUAGUGCUGGUAUUGUGUCGACCAUACUGGCUGAUCCAAUGAACUGUAGCGUGCUACC